UGCCUCAUUAGCUCAGUGGUAGAGCAUUUCACUUUUAAUGAAGGGGUCAAAGGUUCGAAACCUUUAUGGGGCACCAU
RNAcentral lists this transfer RNA (77 nucleotides) under Ureaplasma parvum serovar 3 str. ATCC 27815. RNAcentral describes it as "tRNA-Lys". It matches the Rfam family "tRNA". From Rfam's summary of the family: Transfer RNA (tRNA) molecules are approximately 80 nucleotides in length. RNAcentral also lists the same sequence under 12 other names. Lineage: Bacteria; Bacillati; Mycoplasmatota; Mycoplasmoidales; Mycoplasmoidaceae. The record is from RNAcentral.